UACGAAGGGGGCUAGCGUUGCUCGGAAUUAUUGGGCGUAAAGGGCGCGUAGGCGGCUGGACAAGUCAAAGGUGAAAUCCCUCGGCUCAACUGAGGAACUGCCUUUGAAACUGUCCGGCUUGAGGCCGGGAGGGGGUAGCGGAAUUCCCAGUGUAGCGGUGAAAUGCGUAGAUAUCGGGAGGAACACCAGUGGCGAAGGCGAGUCUCUGGGAUGAUGCUGACGCUGAGGCGCGAAAGCCAGGGGAGCAAACGGG
This 253-nucleotide ribosomal RNA is filed under the name uncultured bacterium. Its description in RNAcentral is "partial 16S ribosomal RNA". It matches the Rfam family "Bacterial small subunit ribosomal RNA", at positions 524 to 776 of the family's 1533-position model. The record is from RNAcentral.